CAGUCGAGCGGUAGAGAGAAGCUUGCUUCUCUUGAGAGCGGCGGACGGGUGAGUAAUGCCUAGGAAUCUGCCUGGUAGUGGGGGAUAACGUUCGGAAACGAACGCUAAUACCGCAUACGUCCUACGGGAGAAAGCAGGGGACCUUCGGGCCUUGCGCUAUCAGAUGAGCCUAGGUCGGAUUAGCUAGUUGGUGAGGUAAUGGCUCACCAAGGCGACGAUCCGUAACUGGUCUGAGAGGAUGAUCAGUCACACUGGAACUGAGACACGGUCCAGACUCCUACGGGAGGCAGCAGUGGGGAAUAUUGGACAAUGGGCGAAAGCCUGAUCCAGCCAUGCCGCGUGUGUGAAGAAGGUCUUCGGAUUGUAAAGCACUUUAAGUUGGGAGGAAGGGCAGUUACCUAAUACGUAAUUGUUUUGACGUUACCGACAGAAUAAGCACCGGCUAACUCUGUGCCAGCAGCCGCGGUAAUACAGAGGGUGCAAGCGUUAAUCGGAAUUACUGGGCGUAAAGCGCGCGUAGGUGGUUUGUUAAGUUGAAUGUGAAAUCCCCGGGCUCAACCUGGGAACUGCAUCCAAAACUGGCAAGCUAGAGUAUGGUAGAGGGUGGUGGAAUUUCCUGUGUAGCGGUGAAAUGCGUAGAUAUAGGAAGGAACACCAGUGGCGAAGGCGACCACCUGGACUGAUACUGACACUGA
Molecule: ribosomal RNA, 695 nt
Filed under: uncultured bacterium
Lineage: Bacteria
Description: bacterial SSU rRNA
Rfam family: Bacterial small subunit ribosomal RNA
Source: RNAcentral